AUUGCAUGUGAGUCCCUCAUUUGGUGCGCUUAGCUGUUUUUCAAUUUGAUAUUGCUAGCUGCCUUGUGAAGGGCUUACGUGUGUU
This 85-nucleotide microRNA precursor is filed under the name Drosophila mojavensis. RNAcentral describes it as "mir-980 microRNA precursor family". It matches the Rfam family "mir-980 microRNA precursor family". The record is from Rfam by way of RNAcentral. Lineage: Eukaryota; Metazoa; Arthropoda; Insecta; Diptera; Drosophilidae.